RNAcentral lists this ribosomal RNA (511 nucleotides) under Paramunida spica. RNAcentral describes it as "partial large subunit ribosomal RNA". It matches the Rfam family "Bacterial large subunit ribosomal RNA", at positions 1831 to 2589 of the family's 2925-position model. Lineage: Eukaryota; Metazoa; Arthropoda; Malacostraca; Decapoda; Munididae. The record is from RNAcentral.
GUCUAUAUGAAGUUAUAUAAAGUCUGGCCUGCCCGUUGAAGAAAUUUGAAAGGCCGCGGUAUAUUAACUGUGCAAAGGUAGCAUAAUCAUUAGCUUUUUAAUUGAAGGCUUGUAUGAAGGGUCUGACAAAGAAAAAGCUGUCUUUAAUUUUAUUUUUGAAUUUAACUUUUAAGUGAAAAGGCUUAGUUGAGUUUAAGGGACGAUAAGACCCUAUAAAUCUUUAUAUUAAAUUAUUAUCUUGGAUUUUAAUUAUUUUGUCUAGAUUUUUAAGUAAAAUAAUAAAUAUUUUGUUGGGGUGACAAGAAUAUAAGAAUAACUGUUCAUAAUUAAAACAAAGUUGUUUGAAUAAAAGUUAUAGAUCCUUUUUAUAGAUUAAGAGAUUAAGUUACUUUAGGGAUAACAGCGUUAUUUUUUUUGAGAGUUCUUAUCGAAAAAAAAGUUUGCGACCUCGAUGUUGAAUUAAAAUUUCUCUAUGGUGUAGAAGCUGUAGAAGAAAGUCUGUUCGACUUUU